CCCUACGGGGGGCAGCGGUGAGGAAUAUUGGUCAAUGGGCGCGAGCCUGAACCAGCCAAGUCGCGUGAGGGAAGACGGUCCUAUGGAUUGUAAACCUCUUUUGUCGGGGAGCAAAAGACGCCACGUGUGGCGUUCCGAGAGUACCCGAAGAAAAAGCAUCGGCUAACUCCGUGCCAGCAGCCGCGGUAAUACGGAGGAUGCGAGCGUUAUCCGGAUUUAUUGGGUUUAAAGGGUGCGCAGGCGGAAGAUCAAGUCAGCGGUAAAAUUGAGAGGCUCAACCUCUUCUAGCCGUUGCAACUGGUUUU
RNAcentral lists this ribosomal RNA (305 nucleotides) under uncultured bacterium. Its description in RNAcentral is "bacterial SSU rRNA". It matches the Rfam family "Bacterial small subunit ribosomal RNA", at positions 337 to 640 of the family's 1533-position model. The record is from RNAcentral.